RNAcentral lists this long non-coding RNA (373 nucleotides) under Mytilus galloprovincialis (Mediterranean mussel). The record is from RNAcentral. Lineage: Eukaryota; Metazoa; Mollusca; Bivalvia; Mytilida; Mytilidae.
UGGAUGUUAUAAUGAAAGAGUUAGAAUUUUUUAUAUUUGAGCUGUUUCCAUGGUAACGGCAGCCAUUUUGGAAAUUCUAAAGUCAAACUGCAAAUCAUCUCAUGCCAGUUACCAUUCCUGUGGAGUUUCGUCCAGUUUGGAACACUUUGAAUAUUUUCGGAUUUUUGCAGUUUCCAUGGAAACGGCAGCCAUCUUGACCAUUCCAAAGUCAGGUGCACAACUUCAUAUGCUGGUCCACAUUAUGGUAUAGUUCCAUCAACAUUGGUCAAUACAAUUCCGAGAAACUGUGUGGACAAAAAGUGUUGAAGAAGAAUAAUAAAAACUAGAUUUGUAAUUGCUAGCAAUAACGGAUGGCACCCUUCCCCGAUUGCCA